UUCAACUUCUUCACUCCCACCCACGAUCUGCAACUCCGCCCACCUUCUUACAUAUUAGGUAAAUUGUUCCUCUCUACUUCUUCUUCUCUCUGUUCGAUCUCAAAUAAAAACCGGAUUUUAUUUACAUUGCCUAUUCGAUUCGAUCUGGUUUUAUCUUCCUAUGGAGUUUGAAUCGGAAGUCCCAAUCAGUCAGUUGAUGCUUAUUUUUGUAUCUAUAUAUAUAUCUAAUACAAAGUUAUGGUUGAAAUUAGAAGAAUACCCAGUAAACAGUGUGGUUUGCUGUUUCUAUGUUUGUUGUUGUUGCUUUGUGGAUUUCUGUCCAAUUUGAUGUCGAAACUGAUAUUCGAUUAAGCUGAAGCGGCUUGGGUUUUUUUUUUGGUAAGAGUUCGAUGUUGUUAUCAGCUUUUGAACUCCAUUGGUUAUUAUGUGUAAUAAUUUCUUCAACAGAUAAUUCAUUAUAAUUUAGGAUUUUCUUAUUUGAAAUCAUGGCAAAUCAUUUUCCAAUUUUGAUUGCGUUUGAAUUUAAAAUUAGAUACCCUAUGUUAAGCAUUGCUAGAGUGUGGAAUAUCCAUGCCCUUUCUGUUUAUGAGCAAGGUAAGUUAGUUUCUUCCUGAGGCAUCUUGUUUUGUACAGAUACCUGCUUUACAGAUGAAUUGGUUUUCCAUGUUGCUCUAACAAUGAGUAUAGUGACACAUUAUAUCCUUGCACCGUUCACCAUUACAUGUAUAUGACCUUACACUGUACAAAUAAAAUCGCCUUCUUGAUAGACGGACAAAAACAGACCGGUUGGGAAAUAAGCAUUUGACCCUUGAUAUAAUCACUAUAUGUUACCCUUAUGGGUGUAAAUUAGUUAACCUUGAUCAAAGUUGGUCAGGGUAAAGGUUCUCAUGCUGUUCAACUUAUUUGAUGAUCUCGAAACUUAUAACUUAUUAACGCAUAUGUGAAUUUAACCAUUUAAUUCAUCUGCUAUCUAACUGGGUUUCAAUAUGGGGAAAGGUUAGCAUAAACAAAUAUUAGCGGUGUUUAGACCUCAUCAGUUUUGGUACUGUUGCAUGGACGAAAGCAGGAGGCUGUAAUUUUUUCCAGGAAGAUAUGCACCAUUAAGAUGUACAAGAGCGAUGAAGUUGAUCUUGAAGACUAUAUGUCUCACCCUGAAUCAGAUGGUUGUCAUGGAUGAGGUCAGCUUCCAGCAGGAAGCAUCAGCGACAGAGUUUGAUUGGCUUUGUCAUAAAUAUCCAAUUGCAAAGACGAAUGACUGGGUUCCCAUUCCGAAAGUGGCCUUUCCAAAUGAGUUUUUAAGCGCGACUUUGUUGCCGUUCAGUUUUAUGCGGUUCAAUUGCAGGUAACUUUAUUUCCUCAGCAGGGAUAUUCAAUAUCUUUGUACCUUCAUUGUUAUGUAUUUUACUGAUUUUUAAGUCGUUUGAUUACCUGUCUUUUUCAUGUCUUUCAUCCUCUUAUCGUGCACAAUUCAUUUAUCUGAAGUAUCUUUAAACUUGGAUGCACCAUACCCAAUCAAGAAAAUUGAUACAAGUUUUUUAGACUGUAAAUCUUUUCGUAUAUGCUGAGUAUGUUUUAGAAGGAUGAAGUGCGAAGAUUCGUGAACUAAUGUUGUAACUUCUUAAUGGAACAAAAAGUUAGUUUGGCAUGAAGAUUUGCUCUAUUUCCUCUAAGGACACUAUUGUGACCUUACAAAAGCGACUGUAGGGGAUGUUUAUCGCUGUCGAAUGUGUUAUUCAGCUUAUGGUUUCCCAUCCUUUCCAGUUUUAAUUCGGAAUAUUAUUUCUUUUCACCUUAUAGCUCAGUUGUGUCUAUAUUGCGGACAGUUUUAUUGUUAAUAAUUAUCGUUCAGUGUUGUAUCUGAUAUGUGGAGUUGUUUUUUCCAGUAGAUGCGGGACCCAGCCGAAUUUAAAGCUUUUAGCAAACUAUGGCUUUGUUAAUGAAGAUAACCUUUAUGAUUGCAUUUGAUUCAGGCGAAAACUGAGUUGAUUCUGACAAGUUUGUUUGUAAUCCUACAUGUUCUCCGUUUAUACCUUGUAUAGUUCUUGCAUGUUCUCUUUGUUCCAGGAACCCUCAGCACCAAAGAUCCGCAAUACCAUGAUUAGAGUUUGGUUGCUCAACUAAAUGGAAAACUUUCUAUACAAAUCUUUCAUGUGUGGGAUCUAAUCAUUGCGCUUUUCUGUUUCUUUAUUAUGUAAAUCCUUAUUCAUUUAAACUUGUGUUAUGGGACUAUCCUAUGCAAUAACAGGUGUUUGCUGGCAAAGAAAAAGAAGUAGUUUACUUUACGAUAUGCCUCCUUACGUUCAACUAGGGUAUGUUGCAGACCCAUCCGAUAUGCAAUCAUUAAUAUGUAUCAGGCCCCAUAGUUCAAGCUGAUAUCUGGUCAUUUGGGAUAAAAUGCUUUUAAGUUGGCCCAUGUUCAUGCUCCCUUCUCUAAGUAUCCUCCGAUAAAGGUGAUUGGAACUGCAGUACUUGUGAAUGGCUGGCUAUCUGAUUUAGACCUACAACGAUUUUCCACUAUGAAAAGCUGCGGGGUUAUGUUCUGAUCAUCAAGUUUAUAAGCUGAGCGAACUUCUGGAAAAGUGUAUGCAGAGAGGGAACAUGCCAUUCAAUUCCAGGCACACCAAGAUGCUAAUGCAGAUACCACACAUGCGACCUCAGAGAUUUAAAUGCACUAAGAGACUUAAACGCACUAAGUAUCUUCGCAUAAAGGUAUUUCAUUGACCUAUUCCUAUGAUCUUAAUGAGUUUCUCUUUGGAUAAAGAAACCGCGCCUGUGAAGCUGUAAUCACUUCAGUGAAUGCUCUCAGUAAGACUGGAAGUACCAUGCAUUCUGUUGGGAGUGAAUGUGUGCAUAAUUGUCACUUCCGUGAUUAGAUUUCCCUUUGGUAAUAGUCAUUAUAAGUAGGGAUUUCAUCAUUUAUUUCUUGUUCAGUCUUUGUUAACAGUAAGCUAUAUGGUUUAUGGAAUUUCAUGGCAAGGAUAGUGUUGUCCGAUUUAUAAUUAAUAAAAAUUCAA
Papaver somniferum (opium poppy) is the source of this 3014-nucleotide long non-coding RNA. RefSeq lists it as uncharacterized. The record is from RefSeq and is a predicted model, not a curated record. The transcript has 6 exons. NCBI's taxonomy places the organism in Eukaryota, Viridiplantae, Streptophyta, Magnoliopsida, Ranunculales, Papaveraceae.